CUACGGGAGGCUGCAGUGAGGAAUAUUGCACAAUGGGGGAAACCCUGAUGCAGCAACGCCGCGUGAAGGAUGACGCAUUUCGGUGUGUAAACUCCUUUUAUAUGUCAAGAAAAUGACGGUAGCAUAUGAAUAAGCACCGGCUAACUCCGUGCCAGCAGCCGCGGUAAUACGGAGGGUGCAAGCGUUAUUCGGAAUCACUGGGCGUAAAGGACGCGUAGGCGGAUUAGAAAGUCAGGUGUGAAAGCCUACAGCUUAACUGUAGAACUGCACUUGAAACUCCUAGUCUAGAGUAUGGGAGGGGGAGAUGGAAUUAGUGGUGUAGGGGUAAAAUCCGUAGAUAUCACUAGGAAUACCGAAAGCGAAGGCGAUCUCCUGGAACAUUACUGACGCUAAGGCGUGAAAGCGUGGGGAGCAAACAGGAUUAGAUACCCCAGUAGUC
This 439-nucleotide ribosomal RNA is filed under the name uncultured bacterium. RNAcentral describes it as "partial 16S ribosomal RNA". It matches the Rfam family "Bacterial small subunit ribosomal RNA", at positions 339 to 795 of the family's 1533-position model. The record is from RNAcentral.